AAUUAUAUCCUAAUUCCUUGGUGUCAAAGUGGAGUAAAAAAAGUCAUGCUACUGUGUGAUGUUUAAGAGGACUGAACAGGGAAAUUCAUGAGUUGGUAUAUUCUGCAAAAAACGAUGUAUGAAUUUUGAAUCCAUCUUUGCAGCAAGCGAUGGAAAGAGAGGCGUCAGUAUCCUUUUGAUAGUGUUGAAAACCUUGAUACAGAUCCCUGAGCAAUUGUGAAAACUACUAUCAGCAAUAAAGUUUUAUAAAACUCAAAAAGGUAGGUGCAUCUUAAUCAAAACCAAGAAAACUUUCUUACCUUACCAGGAGGUGUAGCCGAUCUCUUUUUGCAUCAAUUGUAAUGCGCCAUUGAGUCUGCGCAACGACGUCAGGAGCGAGUUCAAUCGAGUUUAACCGAACUCAACCGAACUCCGAACGACUCCGAACUCAACCUCUCAUCUUGAGCUUCCAACAUCUCGCCUUCGCGACGCCCUUCACCUCAGAUUUUCCUGACAUGGUGCGUUAACUACUCCAUAAAUGCUGUGCUUUUCUUAUGUUUGUAUACUAGCAACAUAUUGACUUCUCAGCGUCACUCUUCUUUACUCUUCAGCGUUCUUCUUAUUUCCAAUAAUUAAUCGUGUUCAGGCAUGGCGGUCGCUUCUCCUAACAAUGUUUUGGCUUGAGGUUACCUCUUUAUGGAUGAAUGCUUCUCUUCUCCCUGGAUUCUUUUCAACCAGAUAUCUGAUUCUUCAGCUUGAAACAACAAACUUUCACAGGACAUCAUGUUCUUUGGCUAUACAGACUCUUGUGCUUUUACUGGAGGUAGGAAUCGAUCGAAAUAUGUCAUGGUCCGUGUCUGUUAGAAAAGAAUAAACUCGACAGGAAAUCGUUUUCUUUUCUGGAAUCUUACGCGCACUGAGUAUAAUAGAAACCCCUUAGGCUGUGAGGUCAGCAAUCAGGAAUUAGUCAUGAAACCACUGUUUGUCCCUGCUUGUGUUUUUACGGACGUGUACCACAAACGCAUCUGACGAAUAACCGGUAAGUAUGUCUUUUUCUUUCCUACUGCUUUAGUGAUUCCUGAUAACGUUAUUCUCUCUCCGAAAAAAAUUAUCAUUUUGAAAAACACUUUUGUUUUAAGUACCUCGUGACUCUUGGUGCCUCUAGAAUCCAUCAAUCAUGUUUCGUGCUUCAUGGAUUUGGAUGCCGCCUAUUUCUAUUUAGGGAAAACCUUUGAACUCUCCAGCCAAUAAAUCAUUGGUCACACUUCCAUUAUUUCAUAACAUCUUUACCAGAGUGAAAAAAUAUUAUCAUCUUUAUGUUCCUUUGAUCCUUUCUACUCUACUCACUGUCACACAUUUAUUUUAUUGUCCACCCUAAGAAUUUUGUUUUCACAACAUCUAGCCGAUAUGUUUCUUUCCUCUCAUCACCCAUGACGAUGUAAUGACAUUGUUGGUGGAAACUGGUUACAGGUUACUUUUGGGAGGAAAAGGAAUCAACAUUUCGUCACCUCAACUGAAAUUUCCUUUGAUUUAAACUUUUUUGAUUACGUUUACUCAAUUUUUCCCAAAGCUUCUAAGAAUUUCAGUCUGAAUGGCACGUUUUGAGUUCAGUGCAUACAUUCGUGACAAUCUUAUUUCCAUCUCUCUACAACGGCAUUCUAUCCUCAACAGUAACGGCUAGUAAUACUGAAACAAAUUACAGAGACCAAAAACAACUUUUCAACAACAGUCAAUUGGUCAGGAUCUGUAGAAAAGUUGAUCAAAACGAGUGAAAUCUCGAAAGCAGACGACCCCUCAAAGCUUUAUUUCUCAAAAGAAAAUGUUAAGAAAUAAUUACGUUCACAAAAUUGUACUUACCUGGCUGAAAUGAUGGUAAAGUCGUCCCUGCCACACAACAGCUAAGAAUGCUAAAUAACGAGAAAAUUCGCAGAAGUUAUAAUCAUGCGAUAGGUUCAUAACAAAGCAAAGGCCUACUGUGUAGGAAAGAAUGUUCCUGUGAAGAGGAAUUUUAAACAGAAUAAUUAAUGAAAUUUCUUUAGUUUUUUUCUGUCCAUUGAAACAACUGUAGGCAUUACAAGUACCUCUUAAGUGAAUGGUGAAUUGUUAUUUCUAUUUAAGCAGCUUGCACGCUCCCGUAAAAAUAACAGAAUACCUGAUCGCCGGCCACUUAUAAUCGAUAGGAUCUGGGUACAAGAUUAAGUUUCAUGUUAUACUACUGUAGACACUUUAAACAAGGAACUUGAUCAAUUCAUUGUAAUAUCCCUGAUUUUUAACUUUUCAAUAAGGAUAAGGCGAUGGAGCUGAAUUUGUGACAUUAGAGGAUGUCUUGAGGAAGUUGCAUAGGGGUUUUGACCGCGCGGAAUCUUGACGCGAACAUAGUUAGUGCUUAAAAAAUGUCAACAAACAAGACAAGCAUGGCAGCUCGAUCCGGUCGCAUGAUUUUUAUCUGAAAAGGUGUAUAUAUCAAUUCAGUUUUUGUCUGUUGGACUCAAGGGUUUCCAGCCACGAUAUCGAUAACAUCCAUAGGUCUUCUACCUUUCAAAAAUAAGUCGAAAGAUGGGAAACACGGGGGGAAAAAUUUUUUUAAAAAGUCGACAGAUUCGGAAGUUUACGCAUGCUCAUAUAUCGAUCUUGUUGAUGUUCCAUUUUGAUGAUCAUGACGUAAUUUUUGGGAGUAAAAAGAGAGAUCUUUCGAGUGAGAUUCGUCGCCUUUCGUUUCGUUUGCCGAUAAAUAAAAAAUAAAAAACUUGAAAGACUAAUUAUGAAUUAGAGGCAGAUAACAAAGAUUCGCAAAAAGUUGUGGCCCCCCCGCCUAUAAAGUAAUCAGCGUGACGAAUGCCACAUAUCGUGACAAACAUGGAAGAUUUCACCAGAGCAUAUCGGAAAAAUUAAAAUCAGCCAAACUACCGCAGAGGACCUUCGUCAACAUACUAUCUUUAGCCACAAGUGAGAGUACUAUCCUUCUCUCGGUUAUCCUUUGUGCUCGCUUUCGGGCGUAAUUUAGUAGGGCGUUUAAUUAGCAAAUCUACAAGAUAAAUCGUAAACAGCUGAAGUAACCUCGUAAAGGGAUGAAUUUGAAGUUAGGGCAACGGAACAUCUCUUGUAUGACCCCAUUAGGUUGAGGCGCCCUCUGUCGCAAUAUGGGAAAUCAAUCUAACAUGUUGUGCCUUUAUGUCAAACAGGAUAUUUCAAAAUUCAUUGUGUCAACGUCGUUGGAAGGAUUUGUAAGAAAUACAGGCCAUAAAAGAAUGGCUGCUUUGAUAAGAAAAUUCCAGGAAUAACUAUUUUUUGAUUCUAAUUCAUAAUCGGUGUUUGGGUUGCCAAGAAACUGAAUUUUUAGUCCUUAUUUUUUCAAACAUAAAAUAUUCGGCAGGACAAAUGUUACAUAUUGUGAGAGAUAUGGUAGAUUUCUAAGAACAAACACCUUUUUUGCUAAUGAAAACUACAGAAAACAACAGUUCAACUAUUAUUUAUUACAUAUUGCUAACUUUUAGAGAUCUUGCAGGUAGAAAACAUCACAAAUGUUCUAUGAAAACAUAACAUUUGCCGGCGCGUGCGUCGUAAUUAGGCUUUAACCUGACAGUCUGACACCUUAAGUGAAUUUUGUUCUUACUUCUUAUCUCAGCUGAGCGGAAACUUUUCUCAGGUCAUUUAUUCAGGUGAAAUCGACAGCUUUGUAUCAUUUAGGCUAAUAGUAGUUUCUGUAAUUUACAAUUAAAACAGUGAAUGUGAAAG
Molecule: long non-coding RNA, 3714 nt
Filed under: Pocillopora damicornis (cauliflower coral)
Lineage: Eukaryota; Metazoa; Cnidaria; Anthozoa; Scleractinia; Pocilloporidae
Description: uncharacterized LOC113667333
Source: RNAcentral